GAGCGGAUGAGAGGAGCUUGCUCCUGGAUUCAGCGGCGGACGGGUGAGUAAUGCCUAGGAAUCUGCCUGGUAGUGGGGGACAACGUUUCGAAAGGAACGCUAAUACCGCAUACGUCCUACGGGAGAAAGCAGGGGACCUUCGGGCCUUGCGCUAUCAGAUGAGCCUAGGUCGGAUUAGCUAGUUGGUGAGGUAAUGGCUCACCAAGGCGACGAUCCGUAACUGGUCUGAGAGGAUGAUCAGUCACACUGGAACUGAGACACGGUCCAGACUCCUACGGGAGGCAGCAGUGGGGAAUAUUGGACAAUGGGCGAAAGCCUGAUCCAGCCAUGCCGCGUGUGUGAAGAAGGUCUUCGGAUUGUAAAGCACUUUAAGUUGGGAGGAAGGGCAUUAACCUAAUACGUUAGUGUUUUGACGUUACCGACAGAAUAAGCACCGGCUAACUCUGUGCCAGCAGCCGCGGUAAUACAGGGGGUGCAAGCGUUAAUCGGAAUUACUGGGCGUAAAGCGCGCGUAGGUGGUUUGUUAAGUUGGAUGUGAAAUCCCCGGGCUCAACCUGGGAACUGCAUUCAAAACUGACUGACUAGAGUAUGGUAGAGGGUGGUGGAAUUUCCUGUGUAGCGGUGAAAUGCGUAGAUAUAGGAAGGAACACCAGUGGCGAAGGCGACCACCUGGACUAAUACUGACACUGAGGUGCGAAAGCGUGGGGAGCAAACAGGAUUAGAUACCCUGGUAGUCCACGCCGUAAACGAUGUCGACUUGGAGGUUGUUCCCUUGAGGAGUGGCUUCCGGAGCUAACGCGUUAAGUCGACCGCCUGGGGAGUACGGCCGCAAGGUUAAAACUCAAAUGAAUUGACGGGGGCCCGCACAAGCGGUGGAGCAUGUGGUUUAAUUCGAUGCAACGCGAAGAACCUUACCUACUCUUGACAUCCAGCGAACUUUCCAGAGAUGGAUUGGUGCCUUCGGGAACGCUGAGACAGGUGCUGCAUGGCUGUCGUCAGCUCGUGUUGUGAAAUGUU
This 1017-nucleotide ribosomal RNA is filed under the name uncultured bacterium. Its description in RNAcentral is "bacterial SSU rRNA". It matches the Rfam family "Bacterial small subunit ribosomal RNA", at positions 64 to 1076 of the family's 1533-position model. The record is from RNAcentral.